CUGGGGAGCUGCUGCCAGGUGUGAGCACUGUGCCAGCGGGAAGGCUGCGGAGCAUCACGUCCCUGCAGCUCCUCAUCCGGGGACGUGUCCCCUCCCCGUGCCAGGCCCCCCGGUGCAGCAAGGACCCUGCCUGCCCUGGGGACUGUUAGCUUGACCAGCGAUCCUGGCAUCCUCGUGCAGGUAAGGGAUGCUGCUCCUGUGCUCACUGGUGAGGAUUUGGCCCCCUUGGGGUGUGUGGGGACAUGGGCAGGCUGCAGCCUCGUCCCUGCCUGUGGGGUCCAUGUGGGGUGGAUGGGGGCAGCAGCAGCUGGCAGGGGGUGCGUGGUGCUGUGCUGGGAGCUUAGGGCUUGUGGGCAGGUUUCAGGGGCUGUGCACGGCGGUGGGAAUUGGGGCAGAGCUCACGUCUGUGCCAUGGGUGUGUCAGGGCUGGUGGAGGCAGAGAGCAGCUGGUGGGUUUGAAGGGGCAACAGGGUGGAGUGAACUCUCCUGCCCGCCCUGGGACACUGUCUAUUUUCAGGGACCAAACUGUCACUUAAAAGCAAAAGCAGCUCAAGAGGUGGGUGCUGCCAGGCCAGCAGGGAUGGGGCAGAGGCUCAGCCCCACGUGCAGAGCUGCCCCCCUGUGCCAUGCCAUGGAGACCCCCUCCCAGCGUGGGGCUGCCCCCCAGAGCAUCCCAGUGCCCAGCGCUGGCCCCCUGCCCCAGAGCAGCCGUGGGGCAGGAGGUGGCAGCGCAGGGAGCGGCUUUUCCUCUUUUGAGGUUAGGCGAAGGCUUUGAGGAAGGAGCUGAGGUUUGCAGAUGUUAUGUCACAGCCCCGAGCGCCUUCAGGGCUUUGCUUCCUGGAGCACAGCUGCUUCCCAGCCCCAGCCAUUCUUACUUGGCCUCUUCCGUGCGAGCCUUGGGGUGACGCAGGCAACGUCUGGGGUCAGGCAGGGGCCAGGCAGGGCUGGCCUGAGGCUCUGUGGGGCUGCUUGGGUGCUGCUGGGGCCUUGGGUCUGCAGGACAUUGUCCCCAGUGCCUCUCCAUCCUGCCCUUCCACAGACAUCACCCCAUGGUCCUGGUGCCAAAGGGGACGCUGCUGGGGGUGGGGGGGAUCUCUGUCCCUCGGGCUCCCAGCUGUGACAGCAGGGGCCCGAUCCUGUCCGCAGCAGGAGCACAGAGCUGCCUGCGUGGGCACGCAUCGCCCCCAGCCCUGCACGGAGGCGAGGCCGGGUUGGGCACAGGGAAGCCUCGUCCCCGGCGCGAGGGCGAUGCCUGCCAGGGCUCCUCUGCUUUCUCCUCUGGGAACCAGUCGAGCCAGCGGGCGAGGAGCGGUGAGGUGGCAGUGUCACCGGGCGAGGAGGGGACAGGCAGGACGCGCCAGGCUCUGCUGCAGCAGCUCCCAGCCCAGGCAGCCUCCAGCAGCUCCCACAGGAAGGCAUCAGAGGAUGGACCCCGGGGCAGGGCAAGAGCCCAUCAGUGUGCUCGGGCUCAUCCUGGGCCUUGGGCUGGCCCUGCUGAUCCUGGUCCUGUUUGGCUAUGCCUUUGUCCGGUGCUACCAGCAGGGCCGGUGCUGGCGCCGUGAGUAUGGGCAGAGUGCGGGGACGGGCACUGGCGGGGCAGGGAGGGAAAAGGAAAGGGGCUGCAGGGCCUGGGGUGUGGGGAGCACGUCUUGUCGGUCCCCAAAAUCCACAUGCUGGAUUUUUGGAUGCUCUGGGGCAAGGCUGGGUGAUUCAGAGGCCAAGGAGUGAUUUGGAGAUGUCCUGGUGCUGCCGCGUGUCCCGUGGGCUGUCCUGUCCCUGCCCUGCCCUGCACCACCAGGUGAAGGCAAGUGCCCAGCCACAUGGCCGAGCACCGCAGGGCCCUCUGACAGCUUCUCCUUCCCUCCUCCCCAGGGCCUGACUUCGUCUUCAACCUCUACCACAGCUGGUAAGUGAGGCCACGUGCGGCAAAGCCCCGGGGACCUGGGGCUCAUGGGGUGCCCCCUGCAUGGUGCUGCCAACACCCACCAGUCCCUAACCCACCAAGUGGGAUAUGGGCUUGGCCGCCUGCAGGCAGUGCCUCCCUGGGAUGAUGAUACCCUGGGGACCCCCCAGCUGCCCGGGGAGGCUCCGGCAGCCCCCUGAUGCCUCUCCCUCCCCUGCAGCGGGCUGAGGUCGGUGGCAGUGGAGCUGACCCCACCAUUCAGCAUCAGCGGCUUGCUGAGCGAGGCGGGGGGCGGCUACGUGCGCUUCCAAGAGCAGGGGCUGUGAGGCUGGCAAGCAGGUAAGCAUGGCCCCACUCCCUGCAUGUGUCCCCAGCCACUUGUGUCCCCCCUGCAGCAUCGUGGCCCCCCGGCUGCCCUGCAGAGCCCGGGCGCAGUGUGCGCGGGGCCGUGCAGCCGUCGGUGUUUGGGUGCUGGGUGAGAAAUACUGCACCCCACUGCCUCCUUCCCCUCUUGUAGUCCCAGCUGUGGCUUUCCCUGGGAUAGUCCCAAGGUUUUUCCUCUAAAAGUCCUACCCAAGCCUGUGGGGCAUCAGGGGCUUUCCCUGGGCUCUGGUUUUAUUUCUCCCCUUGCAGGCUUUGGCCCAUGCCGCAGCGCUCUGCUGACCAUGCUGCGAGCUCCCCGUGCCAGGGGGUUCCGUGGCUGCCCCCUCCCACAGCUUUUGGGAUCAGCAGGGUGCCCACAGGGUGCGGCUGAUGCAGGCUGGGUGCUUUGUGCUUGUGUUGUGCCGUCCCUGGCUGGGGCAGCCCUGCAGUGCUGUCCCUGUGCCCUAUAAUGGGCCUGAGAACGGGCUCGUGGCUGGGGGCAAAGGGGGCCGGGGCUGGAGCACGUGUGCUCCCCAUGCCAGUGCGGCCCUGGCUUCUUCCCCCUGCUGUCUCAUCCCCACUGCCAGCAACCACAGAAAGAGCAACCAAAAGCAGCUGUGGGGGAGUUCCUCUGUUCUCAGUUCUUCAAAAAACAGCCCCCAGAUAUGCUGGAUUUCUACCAAAAUUGGAACAGAGCAGUUUCUGUUCUACAGAGCUUCUUCAUCUGCUCCCUGCAGCUGUGGUCCCCUCCCCGGCCAUGGGCAGAGCCGAAAAGUGCCUGGGGCUGGCUGCUCUCCUGGGGCCAGGGCAUGGGCUCAGCCUCCCCUUGCUUGAAGUGAAAGAAACAGGGUGCUGCUUCAUCCCGAGCACCCAAAGAGAAGCAAACUGUCCCCACAGUCCCCGUGGCUCAGACAUCCCAGCGCUCAGGACCAGCCGGCUGUGCGCCCAGGAGCAGGCGGAGCAGGGCUGCAGAAGGGCGAGGAACCCGCCGAAGAGCCAGGAGCCGCAGAAAGGGCCGGCUUUGUGCAAUAGGGGAAAACGCGCAAGGAAAUGAGACUGCUUCGCAUUUCCCUCAGCCAAAUAUCUGGGCCAAUGUGGAAAUUUCUGCCAUCUGCACUGACCCUGCGAGCGAACGUGUCAGAAAGCCCCUGUGGGUUCCCUUGUGGCUUUCUGGUGUGGCUUGCAUGGGCCGUGGCAGCCUGGCACCAGGGUGGCUGGGGCGCAGCAGGACAGGUCCCCGGGGCUGUACCGGGACAGCUCUGCGCCGUGCCAGAGCACCCGGCACACCGUGAGCCCACUGUGGGGUGGGGAUCAGUGCCCGUGGCCUGGUGGCAUCUUGGUAAGAAGGGGCCAGGACGCCUUGCUCCUGUCCCACCGUGCGUGCGCUGCGUGCCGCUUGUCCUCGUAGCCCCCAUUCUGCGGGCACACAUCCAGCUGGGUGCCCAGGGGGUGCCCAGCACAGCACCCUCUGCCAAUACGUGCUGCAGCCCUCGCGGGAGGCGUUUGUAAAUGUUUUUUUAUGAAUCAUUUUCUUGGAAGGAAAAGGAGAGAAGAGAAACCCCGGGGACACUGUGGCUGCGCGCAGGGGAACCAGCGAGAGCUGGGUGGGGAGCCCCAUCCUGCACCCCACUGUGUGAGGGGCUGGGAGCGGGGGUAAGGAGGGACAAAACCAUAGGGGGCAUGGCCGUGGGUGGGAAGGGGGUGGUCCGGAGGGGCCAAGGGGUGGCUGUGGGAGCCUGGGGGCAGCUCGGGCUCUGCAGCUUGGUGCUGCCUUCCCGUGGGUGAGACCUGAGCAGGGCACGGCUCAGCACAGCACCAGGAAUGGGGCCGCACAAAAUGGCCAUGCCUCCCCUCCGUCCUAGGGCAUGGAUGGGGCUGCCCCCCAAAGCUCAGGGGGUGUACAGCCCAAGCAUCCCAGUCCCUUGCUGCUUGUGCCAUGGGCAGCAGGCGGUGGGACGGAUGGACACGUCCUGGGCAGACCCCUCAGCCUUUCCCCUCGCCUCUCCUCCUCCAGGCUGCUCCUCGCAGGGUUUGCUCCCGUGAAAUGCCGGUGGCUUUGUGCCACGCUAUUGAAAAUGCUCUGGAAAUGUUUGCGUGGGGCAGCGCUGGGGAGAAAAGGUGCUUUCUCAGGUGCAGCCCCCACCCCCGGGCCGAGGUGCAGCACCACACGCCGCAUGGAGCAAGGGAGGGAGGAAAAAACCUCCUGCAGAGGGAUUCGGAGAAGAACAUCCUCUGCGUGUUGGGCUGUGACUUCAGCAAGGAAAAUGUGAGUGCCCGGAGCUUUCACGCUCAGCGGGACCGACAUGCUCUCAGCGACCAAAGCCAAGGUGUGUGGGUUUCUGGCAAGCUCAUCCAUUUCACUGAAAGGAGAGCCCCAGCUGCUCACCGGGGGGGCAUUGCCGUGUCCCUUGGCCCCUGGGUGCUGCCAGCUGGAGCCUCUCACGGCGAGCAGGAACCGGCAGCACCCGACGCAGCCGUGGAUCCGGCCACAGGACUUGACGUCAGGAGUGUAAAAAAAGUCACGCAGAGUUCUGAUGACUACGUUUUUCAGAGGAAGUUGAAAAAGAAGAAAAAAAAAAAAAAAAGCAAAAACCCCAACCCCAAAAAUAUCUCAAGGAAAAAUAACGUGGAAAUGGGAGGAGGAGUGGACGAGGACUGCGGGUGGGUGGCAGCAUCUGGUCCCUGCAGCUGGUGGCAGAGCUGCCCGGGCAGCGAGAGCGCAUCUCAGAUACGGGUAAUGCAGCACCAGGCACAGAAGGAAGCAGCAGUGCAUCAGCAAUGUUCUCCUAACUGCGGUGAGUCAUGUUUUCACCUGGAAAAAGUACUCUGAGCUGGGUUUACAUCGACACGAGGGACUAUCCCACAGUGAACUUUCUGGGAAACUAAGCGUCUUUGGAAAAACUUUCCAGUGACCUGGCAGUAGGUGAAGGUAACCUGCGGUAAGUCCUCCCCAUUUCACACUUGUUUCCACUCACAGAGAAACUAUUUCCCCACACACAGCCAGACCGUAGGCUUGCUCUGCCCUACCUUGGAGGUGGUCCUGUCUUCUCCUGCCUUUCCCCCGCACCACGACCCUGGGGGCUGCCCCUGUAAAACCACCACAAGGUGUUCAGGGCCCUGUUUUGCUGCAGCUCCCAGGGAACCACGCUCCUUUGGGAAAGCAUAUCCUGGUCCUCAGAGGGGUGUGAAGCUCCAGCUGGGCUGGUUUGCUCGCCUUUUCCUAGUUCUGGUGUGAAAACACUUUGCUGUGCAAGGCAAAGGCACGUUGCCCUUGUCUGCUGGGGGGAGAUGUCCAUACCUGAAAGCAGAAAGCCUUAGAAGGGGACGAAUGAUGAAUGGAGCAAAUAAUCAACAGUUCUUCCUUUCUCUAUUUACAAAUUAAAUAGAAUAAAUAACAUCUAUGUGAAAAGUGUCA
Molecule: long non-coding RNA, 5681 nt
Organism: Anser cygnoides (Swan goose)
Lineage: Eukaryota; Metazoa; Chordata; Aves; Anseriformes; Anatidae
Source: Ensembl